This 447-nucleotide ribosomal RNA is filed under the name uncultured bacterium. RNAcentral describes it as "bacterial SSU rRNA". It matches the Rfam family "Bacterial small subunit ribosomal RNA", at positions 328 to 792 of the family's 1533-position model. The record is from RNAcentral.
UGGCCAGACUCCUACGGGAGGCAGCAGUGGGGAAUAUUGCACAAUGGGGGAAACCCUGAUGCAGCGACGCCGCGUGAGUGAAGAAGUCUUUCGGUAUGUAAAGCUCUAUCAGCAGGGAAGAAAAUGACGGUACCUGACUAAGAAGCCCCGGCUAACUACGUGCCAGCAGCCGCGGUAAUACGUAGGGGGCAAGCGUUAUCCGGAUUUACUGGGUGUAAAGGGAGCGUAGACGGCUGUGCAAGCCAGAUGUGAAAGCCCGGGGCUCAACCCCGGGACUGCAUUUGGAACUGUGUGGCUGGAGUGUCGGAGAGGCAGGCGGAAUUCCUAGUGUAGCGGUGAAAUGCGUAGAUAUUAGGAGGAACACCAGUGGCGAAGGCGGCCUGCUGGACGAUGACUGACGUUGAGGCUCGAAAGCGUGGGGAGCAAACAGGAUUAGAUACCCCCGUA